RNAcentral lists this long non-coding RNA (432 nucleotides) under Linum usitatissimum (flax). RNAcentral's name for it is "long non-coding RNA (LUSI_LNC007017)". The record is from RNAcentral. Lineage: Eukaryota; Viridiplantae; Streptophyta; Magnoliopsida; Malpighiales; Linaceae.
ACCUGCAACAUAUAAAAACCACAAUCAGACGUAGAACGUGUCUGUCCAACAAGAUAGAACCAACCCAAUAGAUGGAUAUCUUACUCUCAUAGCGUUCAGAUAUAAAAUGGUUGCAAGGUUAACUAGACUUCCCGCCGCCACCACAUUUUGAACCAUUUAGUUGGUAAAAAUUUGCACCAUUUAAAUCCAGUAAUAACAGAAAGAAAGAACUGACACUAAAAUCUCAUCAUAUCAUCAGGCAGAUGGACUCACACUUCCUACUGUAGCUUGAACAGCAGAAACACGCUGGAAAGCUCUCUCAGCCUCCAGGGUUCGAACUCUAAGCUUCAAAUCACCUUGCUCCUAUAAAAUAUUAGUCCAACUCAAACUAGGAACCAAUCAUUCUCAGCUUUUAAAAACAUAAACACACAGAGAUUCCAGAUUCCCACCAAU